GCCCGUGUGUUCUAGUUGGUUCAUGAAGCAGGACUUUGAAUCCUGAAACCAGGGUUCGAAUCCCUGCGUGGGCU
RNAcentral lists this transfer RNA (74 nucleotides) under Polymyxa betae. RNAcentral describes it as "tRNA-Gln". It matches the Rfam family "tRNA". Rfam says of the family: Transfer RNA (tRNA) molecules are approximately 80 nucleotides in length. Their secondary structure includes four short double-helical elements and three loops (D, anti-codon, and T loops). The record is from RNAcentral. Lineage: Eukaryota; Endomyxa; Phytomyxea; Plasmodiophorida; Plasmodiophoridae.